AUUUCAACAUCUCGGUGACUUAAUACAACAAAAGAUUUAUUUCUUUGUUUCCCAUUCCAGUGCUAAUUAGGUCUCACUCCUUGGCAACUCUCCUCCUCCAAUGUUGACUGGGGGAUCCCAGAUCCCAGCAACUUCCAAAUUGCAACUCCACAUUUUAGAGUUCUUUACAGCCAGCCUGUGAACCAGGUGCCUGCUUUAGCAGCCAGGACCCUCUUGGAAAGCUGGUGAUGUCCAGUUCUGGCCCAAGUAACUCCAGCAAGUCACUGGGUGGGAGAGGUCUGUCUCCAGGGAAGACAGCUUGCCAUUCCACUGCACCCCCACCAGCACGCCGCAGUGAGUCGGCUAGCCAGUGCUCGUAGACAGCAUCCUGAGGAUACCCAGCAUUUUGAGUUCCAGCCCAUGUAAUAAUGCCCAGCUCCAGACAGAUGGAUUAGUUUGAACUAUGUGACACUGCCUAUAUAAAAUUGUUUCUGACCUACAAAAAUGAGACUUU
RNAcentral lists this long non-coding RNA (493 nucleotides) under Canis lupus familiaris (dog). RNAcentral's name for it is "lncRNA (ENSCAFG00000039177.3, ENSCAFG00845003400.1)". Lineage: Eukaryota; Metazoa; Chordata; Mammalia; Carnivora; Canidae. The record is from RNAcentral.